GAUGAACGCUGACAGAAUGCUUAACACAUGCAAGUCCACUUGAAUUUGGGUUUUUAACUUCGGUUUGGGUGGCGGACGGGUGAGUAACGCGUAAAGAACUUGCCUCACAGCUAGGGACAACAUUUGGAAACGAAUGCUAAUACCUAAUAUUAUGAUAAUAGGGCAUCCUAUAAUUAUGAAAGCUAUAAGCGCUGUGAGAGAGCUUUGCGUCCCAUUAGCUAGUUGGAGAGGUAACGGCUCACCAAGGCGAUGAUGGGUAGCCGGCCUGAGAGGGUGAUCGGCCACAAGGGGACUGAGACACGGCCCUUACUCCUACGGGAGGCAGCAGUGGGGAAUAUUGGACAAUGGACCGAGAGUCUGAUCCAGCAAUUCUGUGUGCACGAUGAAGUUUUUCGGAAUGUAAAGUGCUUUCAGUUGGGAAGAAACAAAUGACGGUACCAACAGAAGAAGUGACGGCUAAAUACGU
RNAcentral lists this ribosomal RNA (466 nucleotides) under uncultured bacterium. RNAcentral describes it as "partial 16S ribosomal RNA". It matches the Rfam family "Bacterial small subunit ribosomal RNA", at positions 28 to 506 of the family's 1533-position model. The record is from RNAcentral.